GCAUGCCUAGAUGGGCCAGCCUUGUGAAUCAUCAGAAACUUAAGCCCAAGGAGGGCCCAAUGGGCCCAAGCCCUCAACGGUCCAGCCCACAUUCAUUUGCACGUGGAGUGCUCCUCCGUCUCUCCCCCGUCCUGUUCCGCAGCUUCCGCCUCCUGGAACUGGAAGUAGAUCGAGCGCCUCCUCUCGUCUGCUCCGCCUCCGCCUCCGCCUGCCUGAGCCUGACCGCGCCUCCCGUUCGCGUUAGAUUCCCCAUCACAUCUGGCCCUCUCCAACCCUAACAUCCCAAUCCACUGACGAGGGCAGCUGGCGACACCGCGGCGGGCCUGUCGCUCGCUUCUGCCCCUCACCGCCGAGGAGCUGCACUGCUGCAGCAGCCGUGCGUCCCCUGGAGCGCCGGCCGGCCGUCCGCCCGCGGACCGGGAGGCACCGAGCAGCCAAACUGCUGCGGGCUGCUGCGCCUGCGCAUCUACGACGACCGCAGUCAAGGAGGAGCUGACAAGGUUUCAGUGUCGGACAACAAUUUUCUGUAUCCUCCAAUCGCUUGCCUGCAGUGACACAUCCACUUUGCGCAAUUUCUCGCUUUUUGACCCCGUUGUCUUUAAUGAGCACAAUUUCACAAAUAAUCGUUGGGAAAUCAAAGCCCUUCUACAUUGCCAAAAGUUCUUUCCCUGGAAACAAAUGUAUCCUUUCAAUUCCAAUCCCACACCUUUCCCAAUGCCAUAUUCCCCUCCUCCUCUCCCGUGCAAUCGUUUCGGGUCUUCUCCUCAAGCUACCCCUUGUCCACUCUGUCCUUCGAUCUCUCUCCUCAGGUCCUGUCCCAUCUCUAUCCCUCUCCUUCCUCUCCCUGCUCCGCCACUCUGGAUAUAUGACCCUUGAUAACUACUCCCUCAACAUUGCUCUCUCUGCCACUGCUCGCCUCCCAUCUGUUUCUGUUGGUGCGCAGCUUCAUUCCCUUUCUGUCAAACUCGGUUUGGUUUCUGAUACAUUUGUCCUUAAUUCUCUUAUCAACAUGUACUCAUCUUGUAGCUAUCCAGCUACUGCAAGACUAGUUCUUGACUCUGCUCCCCAAGGAGCUUGUGAUGCAGUUUCUUGGAACACAAUAAUUGCUGGAUACCUACGAGGUGGGAUGCCCAAUAAAGCUCUGCAGGCUUUUGGUGAAAUGGCCAAGGAGCAAGUUAGGCUGGAUGAUGUCACAUUGCUGAAUGCGCUCGUUGCUUCUGCCAGGACAGGCACAGUGAAGGUCGGGAGGCUGUGUCAUGCUUUAGCUCUGGUGAAUGGGGUUGGAAUCAAUUGUUAUAUGGGAUCCUCUCUGAUUAGUAUGUAUGCAAAGUGUGGACUGGUUGAAGAUGCUCGCAAGGUGUUUGAUGGAAUGCAUGAGAGAAAUGUGGUUUGCUGGACAUCAAUGAUUUCUGGGUACACACAGUUGGGUAAGUUUAAAGAGGCUGUUGAGCUUUUUAGGGACAUGCAAAUUUCUGGAAUGGAGGCUGAUGACGCUACUAUUGCUACUGUUGUGUCUUCAUGCGCCCAAAUGGGAGCACUUGACUUAGGAUGUUAUGUUCAUGCUUACUGUGACGUUCAUGGUUUAGGGAAGGAGCUUUCUGUGAAGAAUUCACUGAUUGAUAUGUACUCAAAGUGUGGGGAUAUAAAAAAGGCUUAUGAGAUAUUCAGUGGGUUGACCAAGCGAGAUGUGUUUUCUUGGACGGCAAUGAUAAUGGGCUUUGCUGUUAAUGGCCUCUGUGGUGAAGCACUAGAUUUGUUUGCUCAGAUGGAAGGAGAGGGUAAGGUUAUGCCAAAUGAGGUCACUUUCUUGGGUGUCCUUACUUCUUGCAGCCAUGGAGGGUUACUGGAACAAGGGUACCAUCACUUUCAGCGUAUGUCCAUGGUCUACCAUCUUACACCGAGGAUCGAACACUAUGGAUGCAUGGUUGAUCUCUUGGGCCGUGCAAAACUUUUGACAGAGGCGGCACAGUUUAUUAAAGAGAUGCCUAUUGCUCCAGAUGUGGUAGUAUGGCGGUCGUUGUUGUUUGCCUGCAGAGCUUGUGGAGAGGUAGGACUUGCAGAAUAUGUAGCAGAAAGGAUCCUAGAAUUGGAGCCAAAAAAGUGUGCAGGGCAUGUUUUACUUUCUAAUGUCUAUGCUACUACAUCAAGGUGGGGUGAUGUGAAUAAGUUGCGGACAUCUAUGGAUGGCAGUAGGAUGAGUAAGCAGCCUGGUUGCUCAUUCAUUGAAGUGGACGGAUGUGUGCAUGAGUUCUUUGCAGGAGAUGAAUCACACCUUGAGACAGAAGCUAUAUAUAAUAUUCUUUUGGGGAUUAAUGAGCUAUUGGUAGCAGAGUCCUUACUUGCAUGAAAGUUAAGAUAUUUUUGUGGCAACUAGAUAGACAGAUUUCAAAUGUACGAUGCUAUGAUUUGAUAUGGAGUGGAAAGAAUGUUCAAUGUUUACAUUUUUUUUUAUUUCUUCAGGAGGGCUAUGCCAAUCACUGGAAUAUAAACAAGCAGGGGUCUCUGAUUAAAAUAAGUUUUUGGCCUAUUCCCAAAUUGAAGAAUUCACCUGAACGGAGUAAUGGAUCGGAAGAAUCGA
This is an RNA transcript of Setaria italica (foxtail millet), 2578 nucleotides long. It is a transcript of the gene named DNA polymerase zeta processivity subunit, with no coding region annotated. The record is from RefSeq and is a predicted model, not a curated record. The transcript has 3 exons. NCBI's taxonomy places the organism in Eukaryota, Viridiplantae, Streptophyta, Magnoliopsida, Poales, Poaceae.